GUGCUAUAAUCUCUUUGAUUUUUUAACCUUUGGUGGCAUAUUAUUGCACCAAUUAUUUAAUUCUAUGGCCUAUCAUUUUGAUUAUUUAACUCUAAUUACUAUACUAUACUAUAGUUUAAGUAUACGUGUCGUUGUGAUGCUUCUUUUUUUUUAAUUGAAAGCUAUCUUAUUGAACUUUGGUUGGCUUGUGUGUUAACUAUGUAGUAUGCUUUUGGAUGUAGGAUUACUAUAUAUUGUGCAUCCUACAUUGUAAAUG
RNAcentral lists this long non-coding RNA (256 nucleotides) under Elaeis guineensis (African oil palm). Its description in RNAcentral is "long non-coding RNA (EGUI_LNC008868)". Lineage: Eukaryota; Viridiplantae; Streptophyta; Magnoliopsida; Arecales; Arecaceae. The record is from RNAcentral.